This 646-nucleotide ribosomal RNA is filed under the name uncultured bacterium. Its description in RNAcentral is "bacterial SSU rRNA". The stretch from base 1 to 544 matches the Rfam family "Bacterial small subunit ribosomal RNA", at positions 338 to 873 of the family's 1533-position model. The record is from RNAcentral.
CCUACGGGAGGCAGCAGUGGGGAAUUUUGGACAAUGGGCGCAAGCCUGAUCCAGCAAUGCCGCGUGCAGGAUGAAGGCCUUCGGGUUGUAAACUGCUUUUGUACGGAACGAAACGGUCUGCUCUAAUACAGUGGGCUAAUGACGGUACCGUAAGAAUAAGCACCGGCUAACUACGUGCCAGCAGCCGCGGUAAUACGUAGGGUGCGAGCGUUAAUCGGAAUUACUGGGCGUAAAGCGUGCGCAGGCGGUUAUAUAAGACAGAUGUGAAAUCCCCGGGCUCAACUUGGGACCUGCAUUUGUGACUGUAUAGCUAGAGUGCGGCAGAGGGGGGAUGGAAUUCCGCGUGUAGCAGUGAAAUGCGUAGAUAUGCGGAGGAACACCGAUGGCGAAGGCAAUCCCCUGGGCCUGCACUGACGCUCAUGCACGAAAGCGUGGGGAGCAAACAGGAUUAGAUACCCUGGUAGUCCACGCCCUAAACCGAUGUCAACUGGUUGUUGGGUCUUCACUGACUCAGUAACGAAGCUAACGCGUGAAGUUGACCGCCUGGGGGAGGUACGGCCGCGAGGUUAGUAAACGUUAAAGGUAAAGUUAGACGGCGUGAGACGUUAGGCCGACGGACGACCGACCGGAGGGGAGGGUAGGGGAG